GAUGAACGCUGGCGGCGUGCCUAACACAUGCAAGUCGAACGGAAAGGCUCCUGCUUGCAGGGGUACUCGAGUGGCGAACGGGUGAGUAUCACGUGUGUGAUCUGCCCUGCACUUCGGGAUAAGCCGGGGAAACUGGGGCUAAUAUCGGAUAGGAUGAUGGUUUGGAUGCCAUUGUGGAAAGUUUUUCGGUGUGGGAUGAGCUUGUGGCGUAUGAGCUUGGUGGUGGGGUAAUGGCCUAGUAAGGCGUCGACGGGUAGACGGACGGAUAGGGGGAUCGGCGGCAUUGGAGGUUGGACACCGUCAUUGGGACUACGAGACGGACCAGAGUGGAACGGGAGGCAACGGUGGGAAGUAUUACGCAAUGAGCGCAAGCCUGAUGCGGAGACGCCGGGUGGGGAAUGCCGGCCUUCGGGUUAUGAACACCUUUCGCUAGAGACGAAGCGGUAGUGACGGUACCUGAAGAAGAAGCACCGGCUAACUACGUG
This 485-nucleotide ribosomal RNA is filed under the name uncultured bacterium. Its description in RNAcentral is "partial 16S ribosomal RNA". It matches the Rfam family "Bacterial small subunit ribosomal RNA", at positions 28 to 507 of the family's 1533-position model. The record is from RNAcentral.